RNAcentral lists this unclassified non-coding RNA (27 nucleotides) under synthetic construct. RNAcentral's name for it is "RNA10 from synthetic construct (PDB 4M2Z, chain D)". The record is from RNAcentral.
AAGGUCAUUCGCAAGAGUGGCCUUGCG